Molecule: ribosomal RNA, 499 nt
Filed under: uncultured bacterium
Lineage: Bacteria
Description: partial 16S ribosomal RNA
Rfam family: Bacterial small subunit ribosomal RNA
Source: RNAcentral
GACGAACGCUGGCGGCGUGCUUAACACAUGCAAGUCGAACGGGCCUGUCUUCUUUUUUGGGGGUGGGUUGAGUGGCGAACGGGUGAGUAUCACGUGAGUAACCUGCCCUUCGGUCCUGGAUAACCGCUUGAAAGGGCGGCUAAUACGGGGUGGUCCGGUUGGUCCGCAUGGGCUGGUCGGGAUAGAUUCACUGUUUUUGGUGUUUCGUCGGGGGAUGGGCUCGCGGCCUAUCAGCUUGUUGGUGGGGUGAUGGCCUACCAAGGCGGUGACGGGUAGCCGGCGUGAGAGGGUGGGCGGCCACACGGGGACUGAGAUACGGCCCAGACUCCUGCGGGAGGCAGCAGUGGGGGGUAUUGCACAAUGGGCGGAAGCCUGAUGCAGCGACGUCGCGUGAGGGAGGGAGGCCUUCGGGUUGUGAACCUCUGUUUCCGGUGGUGAAGGCCCUGUCCGUGUGGUGGGGUUGACGGUAGCCGGGGAUGAAGCGCCGGCUAACUACGUG